CCUACGGGGGGCUGCAGUGGGGAAUAUUGGACAAUGGGGGCAACCCUGAUCCAGCCAUGCCGCGUGUGUGAAGAAGGCCCUCGGGUUGUAAAGCACUUUCAGUGAGGAAGAACGCCUGGUGGUUAAUACCCAUCAGGAAAGACAUCACUCACAGAAGAAGCACCGGCUAACUCCGUGCCAGCAGCCGCGGUAAUACGGAGGGUGCGAGCGUUAAUCGGAAUUACUGGGCGUAAAGCGCGCGUAGGUGGCUUGAUAAGCCGGUUGUGAAAGCCCCGGGCUCAACCUGGGAACGGCAUCCGGAACUGUCAAGCUAGAGUGCAGGAGAGGAAGGUAGAAUUCCCGGUGUAGCGGUGAAAUGCGUAGAGAUCGGGAGGAAUACCAGUGGCGAAGGCGGCCUUCUGGACUGACACUGCCACUGAGGUGCGAAAGCGUGGGUAGCAAACAGGAUUAGAUACCCGAGUAGUC
This 465-nucleotide ribosomal RNA is filed under the name Vreelandella stevensii. RNAcentral describes it as "partial 16S ribosomal RNA". It matches the Rfam family "Bacterial small subunit ribosomal RNA", at positions 338 to 795 of the family's 1533-position model. The record is from RNAcentral. Lineage: Bacteria; Pseudomonadati; Pseudomonadota; Gammaproteobacteria; Oceanospirillales; Halomonadaceae.